Long non-coding RNA from Canis lupus familiaris (dog), 506 nucleotides. RefSeq lists it as uncharacterized. The transcript is spliced from 4 exons. The record is from RefSeq and is a predicted model, not a curated record. NCBI's taxonomy places the organism in Eukaryota, Metazoa, Chordata, Mammalia, Carnivora, Canidae.
CAAUGGCCUUCACAGAUGGAAUGUGAAUGUUUCACGGUCUGGCUUUGGACAGGAGAGCUGUUCUGGUAACUACGUUUCCCAGGCAAUGUUCAUUCUGUCAUUUCCCAGACGGAGACGGCAGCACUUCCUUACUUUGUGCACCACAAAAUGUUCCAAACUCAUCUUGUACUUUUCCUGUCUUUCAACCAUGGAAAAUUCCAAUCCAACGCUACAGAAAGAGGUGCCAAGGCAAUGGAAGAGGUGGAAAGAGUAGAGGCAAUGGGAUGAUGUUUGCCACCCACCAAAUCCCUUGGGUCAUAUAAGAGCUUCUAGACACUAGAAGUUUCAUUAGAGGAGGGACCUUUUUUGUCUUGGCUGCUGUUGUGUCCUCAAAGCCCAGAAUAAUGCCAAUCAACAAUGAAGAUGCUCAGUGACGUUUGUUGAAUGAGUAAACAAGGAGAGAAAAGAGAAAGAGGAAAAAAAGGAGAGAAAAAUAAUUGGUAGAACAGUCAAGAAGAUCACUUGUU